Molecule: unclassified non-coding RNA, 240 nt
Filed under: Hevea brasiliensis (rubber tree)
Lineage: Eukaryota; Viridiplantae; Streptophyta; Magnoliopsida; Malpighiales; Euphorbiaceae
Source: RNAcentral
AAUAAAGUUCUUCUUUUCUGACAUUGCCCAUACCAUCUGCAUUACCUGUUGACAUGCAUAAUAUGUGCAAAUUACAUCCUCUCGAAGAUAAAUAAUUAAGGGUUGGAGUAAAGAACAUAGACUCAUCAUCAGGAUGGGCAACAACCAAUAAGACAUUUCUGUUGUGAAAUACUCCACCAUCAUUUAGAACUGCAGCUUGUGAGGCAGAGAGAGAUUCAUGGAGAAUUUUAAAGAGUGAAG